RNAcentral lists this ribosomal RNA (495 nucleotides) under uncultured bacterium. RNAcentral describes it as "bacterial SSU rRNA". It matches the Rfam family "Bacterial small subunit ribosomal RNA", at positions 28 to 517 of the family's 1533-position model. The record is from RNAcentral.
GAUGAACGCUAGCGGCGGGCCUAAUACAUGCAAGUUGAACGGGAUUGUUGGUAGCAAUAUUGACAUGAGAGUGGCGCACGGGUGCGUAACACGUAUGUAACCUACCUUUAACUGGGGCAUAGCUUCGAGAAAUCGAAAUUAAUACCCCAUAACAUUUAGAAAAGGCAUCUUUUCUUUAUCAAAGCUCAGGCGGUUAAGGAUGGACAUGCGGUGCAUUAGCUUGUUGGUGAGGUAACGGCUCACCAAGGCUACGAUGCAUAGGGGGUCUGAGAGGAUGAUCCCCCCACACUGGUACUGAGACACGGACCAGACUCCUACGGGAGGCAGCAGUAGGGAAUAUUGGGCAAUGGACGAAAGUCUGACCCAGCCACGCCGCGUGAAGGAUGAAUGCCCUCUGGGUUGUAAACUUCUUUUGUAUGGGAAGAAAAUUCCGAACGUGUUCGGAGCUGACGGUACCAUAAGAAUAAGCAUCGGCUAACUCCGUGCCAGCAGCCG